This 26-nucleotide non-coding RNA is filed under the name Rattus norvegicus (Norway rat). The record is from RNAcentral. Lineage: Eukaryota; Metazoa; Chordata; Mammalia; Rodentia; Muridae.
UAAUGUGACCUACUGUCUGCUGGGCC